UCCCAAGUUUAAGAGCGACCUG
RNAcentral lists this non-coding RNA (22 nucleotides) under Drosophila melanogaster (fruit fly). Lineage: Eukaryota; Metazoa; Arthropoda; Insecta; Diptera; Drosophilidae. The record is from RNAcentral.